AUCGGCUAACUCCGUGCCAGCAGCCGCGGUAAUACGGAGGAUGCAAGCGUUAUCCGGAUUUAUUGGGUUUAAAGGGUGCGUAGGCGGACUAAUAAGUCAGUGGUGAAAUCUCUCGGCUCAACCGGGAAACUGCCAUUGAUACUGUUAGUCUUGAGUUCGGUUGAGGUAGGCGGAAUGUGUAAUGUAGCGGUGAAAUGCUUAGAUAUUACACAGAACACCAAUUGCGUAGGCAGCUUACUAGACCGACACUGACGCUGAGGCACGAAAGCGUGGGUAGCGAACAGGAUUAGAUACCCUGGUAGUCCACGCCGUAAACGAUGAUUACUCGUUGUUGGCGAUACACAGUCAGCGACUAAGCGAAAGCGAUAAGUAAUCCACCUGGGGAGUACGCUCGCAAGAGUGAAACUCAAAGGAAUUGACGGGGGCCCGCACAAGCGGUGGAACAUGUGGUUUAAUUCGAUGAUACGCGAGGAACCUUACCUGGGCUUAAAUGUAGAGUGCAUUUAUGGGAAACCAUAAUUUCCUUCGGGACUCUUUACAAGGUGCUGCAUGGUUGUCGUCAGCUCGUGCCGUGAGGUGUCGGGUUAAGUCCCAUAACGAGCGCAACCCUUAUCAUUAGUUGCCAUCGGGUAAUGCCGGGGACUCUAAUGAAACUGCCACCGUAAGGUGAGAGGAAGGUGGGGAUGACGUCAAAUCAGCACGGCCCUUAUGUCCAGGGCUACACACGUGUUACAAUGGUCGGUACAGAGGGCAGCUACCUGGUGACAGGAUGCGAAUCUCUAAAGCCGGUCCAAGUUCGGAUCGAAGUCUGCAACUCGACUUCGUGAAGCUGGAAUCGCUAGUAAUCGUAUAUCAGCAAUGAUACGGUGAAUACGUUCCCGGGCCUUGUACACACCGCCCGUCAAGCCAUGGAAGCUGGGGGUGCCUGAAGUUCGUAACCGUAAGGAGCGACCUAAGGUAAAACUAGUGACUGGGGCUAAGUCGUAACAAGGUAGCCGUACCGGAAGGUGUGGCUG
Molecule: ribosomal RNA, 1016 nt
Filed under: marine sediment metagenome
Description: bacterial SSU rRNA
Rfam family: Bacterial small subunit ribosomal RNA
Source: RNAcentral